CGUCGCCUGGCGAAGGGGAUCGCCGAGAGCGCUCCUGGUCGUCUGCUCAGCACCCUCUGGUUCAAUGCCUGGGGCUUCGAC
This 81-nucleotide transfer RNA is filed under the name Aeromonas encheleia. Its description in RNAcentral is "tRNA-Arg(cct)". Lineage: Bacteria; Pseudomonadati; Pseudomonadota; Gammaproteobacteria; Aeromonadales; Aeromonadaceae. RNAcentral also lists the same sequence under 1 other name. The record is from RNAcentral.